UUAUGAAGGAGAGAUGCUCCACUCAGAGGUUAAAAUGAGGGAUUCUGUCAAAUUCGGCAAAAAAUCUAAAAAGACGCCUGUCAAUUCUCAAAUAAAAGCCUAAAGAAAUGCCUUCAUACAUUGUUUUAACAAAGUUUUCCGUUCUUAUGAGUAGUUCCUGUUUUCAUCUCGAGAAAACAACUCGGUGUGUUCAUUACGACCUGAUUUCGUUGGUAUUUUCGUUGGUUUCGCGCCGUACUUGUGGUAAAAUACUAUUUUUGUAUUGUUUUCUUGUACAUACAAACAUACUAACUCAUCUGAUUGUUUUGAUUAAAAUUGACCGUGAAUUUCCUCUAAAAACGCGUUUUUUUACUCGCUCUCAACUUCAGUAGGUGUGAGACGUCUUUCAGUAUUGACGAUCUUUGGUCAGACGGGAGACGCUGUUACGUCAGUGGUCGCCGCUCUCUGUGGCCCUCUGCUGGUCACUUUGAUAACAAUAAUAACAGAAAAAAAAACAAUAAUAAUAUUAAUAAUGAUAAUUAUAGUAAUAAUAAUGACAAUAAUUAUGAUAAAAUAAUACUAAAACAACAAUAAUAACAACAACAUUUUAUGUAUAACACUUUUAAAAACAGAAGUUCACAAAGUGCUUUGACAUGUAGUCAUAGAGCACAUGGAAAAGACAGAUAACAAAAAGUUUCAUUAAAACAGAAUUAAAGGAACAUUUUCAUUUGUUAUAAAUAACCCAGAAAAUACAAGAACCGUGCAACAUAAAAUGAGACCAUGAGGACCAAAAUUAAAACAUAAAAUAGGAAAGAGAAAAGAAAAUGCAAUUAAAAAGGGGGGGUUGAAAGUGGAAACAGGAUAGUAAAUAUAAAAGACAAUAUCAACAAUGAUAAUAAAAUAAUAACAGGUAAUACUGAUAAUAAUAGUAAUGAUAAAAUAGAGCAACAGAAAUGAGCGAGAGAUAAAACAAUAAAAGGCCUAAAAGGUUAAUUAAGAAAAGAGUACAGGAUUAACAAAAGACAGUAAAGCUGAAAUAAGAUAAAAGAGAUAAAAGAUAAGAUGAUACAAGUUAAAGUUCAGAAUUUAUCCAAACUUAGAGAAAAACCUGUCUUUUUAAAGAUGGAUGAGAACAGACUUAAGAGUCCAAGUUUAAUUAUUUUUCUGAUGUUUGUGUUCAUCUUUUUGUCCCCUCAGUCUUAACAUUUAUCCUUGAUCCCUGGCCCUGCCCUGUUAGAGGAUGACCCCCACAGGUGCUGCUGAUUACGAACAGGUGUGCCAAUGUGAAACGAUUCAAACUGAGCAGGGUGGCGUAAACAGGUAUGGUUGUUUUUUGUCUUAAUUAAAAUCUUAAUUGGUUCAACCUUCUCUGAUAUUUUGAAGGUGCAGUAUUCAGAGGUUUGGUUGAUCACAUUAAAAAGUCAUUUUAAUGAAAGACUUUAGUCUUGGUCAGCUGUUGUGAAAAGGCGCCCUCUAGUGGCCUCUCUUAUUGUAACAGGUCAGAAACAGCUGAUCAGACUGCUGCUCUGCCUGUUUUAUCCUCCUCUCAGUUUAUGAGAAUUAACUUCAUCAGAAUUCAAAUUCAGAUACAAACAUAUGGAGGUCAAUCCGUGCCAUCUGAUUUUGAAUUUGAAUUUCUAAAGCUGAAUCUUUUUUUGCAUCAAAAUCAGACUUUGAAUUUCACAACUAUUGAAUUUCAAGCACAAAUUUUUAUUUCUGAAACUUGUUUUUUUAACAAUGAUGAAAUGAGUUCAGUGUAAAAAAAAUCAGUUUUUUCAAAAGAUUUUUUUAAUCAAAAAUUCAACUUAAAAAAACUAAAAAAAAAA
Non-coding RNA from Xyrichtys novacula (pearly razorfish), 1805 nucleotides. NCBI's taxonomy places the organism in Eukaryota, Metazoa, Chordata, Actinopteri, Labriformes, Labridae. The record is from the annotation of a GenBank genome assembly.